This 28-nucleotide non-coding RNA is filed under the name Bombyx mori (domestic silkworm). The record is from RNAcentral. Lineage: Eukaryota; Metazoa; Arthropoda; Insecta; Lepidoptera; Bombycidae.
UAAGAAAUCAGCAGCAGAACAAGGCGUG